GGGGUUGUGGCUCACAGGUAGAGUGUUUGCCUAGCAUGCAUGAGGCACUGAGUUCGAUCCUCAGCACCA
This 69-nucleotide transfer RNA is filed under the name Ictidomys tridecemlineatus (thirteen-lined ground squirrel). RNAcentral's name for it is "Spermophilus tridecemlineatus (thirteen-lined ground squirrel) tRNA". It matches the Rfam family "tRNA". Rfam says of the family: Transfer RNA (tRNA) molecules are approximately 80 nucleotides in length. Lineage: Eukaryota; Metazoa; Chordata; Mammalia; Rodentia; Sciuridae. The record is from Rfam by way of RNAcentral.